Molecule: non-coding RNA, 68 nt
Organism: Sarcophilus harrisii (Tasmanian devil)
Lineage: Eukaryota; Metazoa; Chordata; Mammalia; Dasyuromorphia; Dasyuridae
Source: Rfam
GUCCAAGUAAUUUAACCAAAAUACUGGCCUUGUAAGCCAGCUAUGAAGGUAAAACCCUUCCUAGGACC